AGCAGGCGCGCAAAUUACCCAAUCCCGACACGGGGAGGUAGUGACAAUAAAUAACAAUACGGGGUUCUUUNGGAUCUCGUAAUUGGAAUGAGUACAAUUUAAAUCUCUUAACGAGGAACAAUUGGAGGGCAAGUCUGGUGCCAGCAGCCGCGGUAAUUCCAGCUCCAAUAGCGUAUAUUAAAGUUGUUGCAGUUAAAAAGCUCGUAGUUGAAUUUCGGGGNNAGNNNNNNNGUCAUGCCUCUGGUAUGUACUGGUCUCACUGAUUCCUCCUUCCUGAUGAACCGUAAUGCCAUUAAUUUGGUGUUGCGGGGAAUUUGGACUGUUACUUUGAAAAAAUUAGAGUGUUUAAAGCAAGCUAACGCUUGAAUACAUUAGCAUGGAAUAAUGAAAUAGGACGUUCGAUCCUAUUUUGUUGGUUUCUAGGAUUGACGUAAUGAUUAAUAGGGAUAGUUGGGGGCAUUAGUAUUCAAUUGUCAGAGGUGAAAUUCUUGGAUUUAUUGAAGACUAACUACUGCGAAAGCAUUUGCCAAGGAUGUUUUCAUUAAUCAAGAACGAAAGUUAGGGGAUCGAAGACGAUCAGAUACCGUCGUAGUCUUAACCAUAAACUAUGCCGACUAGGGAUCGGACGAUGUUAAUUUUUUAAUGACUCAUUCGGCGCCUUACGGGAAACCAAAGUGUUUGGGUUCA
Molecule: ribosomal RNA, 687 nt
Filed under: uncultured Glomeromycotina
Lineage: Eukaryota; Fungi; Glomeromycota
Description: SSU rRNA
Rfam family: Eukaryotic small subunit ribosomal RNA
Source: RNAcentral